This 400-nucleotide ribosomal RNA is filed under the name uncultured bacterium. RNAcentral describes it as "bacterial SSU rRNA". It matches the Rfam family "Bacterial small subunit ribosomal RNA", at positions 29 to 414 of the family's 1533-position model. The record is from RNAcentral.
AACGAACGUUAGCGGCGCGCCUAACACAUGCAAGUCGCACGAGAAAGGGCUUCGGCCCCGGUACAGUGGCGCACGGGUGAGUAACACGUGGGUAAUCUGCCUUCGAGUGGGGGAUAACAUUCCGAGAGGAGUGCUAAUACCGCAUAAGACCACGCCCUCGAAAGAGGAAGCGGUCAAAGCUGGCCUCUAUAUAUAAGCUAGCGCUUGAGAAUGAGCCCGCAGAGCAUCAGCUAGUUGGUGAGGUAAUGGCUCACCAAGGCCUAGACGCUUAGCUGGUCUGAGAGGAUGAUCAGCCACACUGGAACUGAGACACGGUCCAGACUCCUACGGGAGGCAGCAGUGGGGAAUCUUGCGCAAUGGGCGAAAGCCUGACGCAGCGACGCCGCGUGAGUGAUGAAGG